CGAGUUCAAUAUGUCAAAAUGACUCUCGGCAACGGAUAUCUCGGCUCUUGCAUCGAUGAAGAACGUAGCAAAAUGCGAUACGUGGUGUGAAUUGCAGAAUUCCGUGAACCAUCGAGUUUUUGAACGCAAGUUGCGCCCAACGUCAUUUGGUUGA
RNAcentral lists this ribosomal RNA (154 nucleotides) under Elatostema tenuicaudatum var. tenuicaudatum. RNAcentral describes it as "5.8S ribosomal RNA". The stretch from base 21 to 154 matches the Rfam family "5.8S ribosomal RNA", at positions 1 to 134 of the family's 154-position model. From Rfam's summary of the family: 5.8S ribosomal RNA (5.8S rRNA) is a component of the large subunit of the eukaryotic ribosome. Lineage: Eukaryota; Viridiplantae; Streptophyta; Magnoliopsida; Rosales; Urticaceae. The record is from RNAcentral.